RNAcentral lists this unclassified non-coding RNA (112 nucleotides) under Chryseobacterium takakiae. RNAcentral's name for it is "Flavo-1 RNA". Lineage: Bacteria; Pseudomonadati; Bacteroidota; Flavobacteriia; Flavobacteriales; Weeksellaceae. The record is from RNAcentral.
AUUUAGCCCGGAUCAAGCGGCAUGUUUGAGCUCUUUUCCUUUUUAGGGUUGCGGCGGCUUCGCCGCCGCAGCCCUAAAAAGGAAAAAGCGAGUAGCGAGAGCCGGAAAAGCU